UGGGGAAUAUUGCACAAUGGGCGCAAGCCUGAUGCAGCCAUGCCGCGUGUGUGAAGAAGGCCUUCGGGUUGUAAAGCACUUUCAGCGGGGAGGAAGGCGUUAAGGUUAAUAACCUUGGCGAUUGACGUUACCCGCAGAAGAAGCACCGGCUAACUCCGUGCCAGCAGCCGCGGUAAUACGGAGGGUGCAAGCGUUAAUCGGAAUUACUGGGCGUAAAGCGCACGCAGGCGGUCUGUCAAGUCGGAUGUGAAAUCCCCGGGCUCAACCUGGGAACUGCAUUCGAAACUGGGAGGGUAGAGUCUUGUAGAGGGGGGUAGAAUUCCAGGUGUAGCGGUGAAAUGCGUAGAGAUCUGGAGGAAUACCGGUGGCGAAGGCGGCCCCCUGGACAAAGACUGACGCUCAGGUGCGAAAGCGUGGGGAGCAAACAGG
This 429-nucleotide ribosomal RNA is filed under the name Chloroflexota bacterium. Its description in RNAcentral is "Chloroflexi bacterium partial 16S ribosomal RNA". It matches the Rfam family "Bacterial small subunit ribosomal RNA", at positions 355 to 776 of the family's 1533-position model. The record is from RNAcentral. Lineage: Bacteria; Bacillati; Chloroflexota.